This 75-nucleotide transfer RNA is filed under the name bacterium. Its description in RNAcentral is "tRNA-Gly". It matches the Rfam family "tRNA". Rfam says of the family: Transfer RNA (tRNA) molecules are approximately 80 nucleotides in length. Their secondary structure includes four short double-helical elements and three loops (D, anti-codon, and T loops). Further hydrogen bonds mediate the characteristic L-shaped molecular structure. tRNAs have two regions of fundamental functional importance: the anti-codon, which is responsible for specific mRNA codon recognition, and the 3' end, to which the tRNAs corresponding amino acid is attached (by aminoacyl-tRNA synthetases). tRNAs cope with the degeneracy of the genetic code in two manners: having more than one tRNA (with a specific anti-codon) for a particular amino acid; and 'wobble' base-pairing, i.e. permitting non-standard base-pairing at the 3rd anti-codon position. The record is from RNAcentral.
GCGGGUGUAGCUCAGUGGUAGAGUGUCUCCUUGCCAAGGAGAAGGUCGCGGGUUCAAAUCCCGUCGCCCGCUCCA